Molecule: long non-coding RNA, 1323 nt
Filed under: Homo sapiens (human)
Lineage: Eukaryota; Metazoa; Chordata; Mammalia; Primates; Hominidae
Description: HSALNT0370665
Source: RNAcentral
UUAGUGGACCUGAGAGAGAGAAAGAAAUUUUCUAUAAACCACUGAACUGGGGCAGUGCCGGAAAUUGUCCCGACCCGGUACUCUGUAGCUUCCAAGGUGCUUCCAACCCCAUUCGCGCCGCAAGGAUCCCACAAGAUCGGGAAAACCGAGGCUUGGGAAGGGUUGGGUGCCCCAAAGGCAGGCUGCUUGGAAGAAACGGAGCCGACCUGAACCCCGCGUUUGCAGGUUUCAAAUCGCGGCGCGUUUUGAGAGGCCUUUCUGACCCCUCAGAAUUAUUAGUUCGAGCCCCCUGGUCUAUCCUGCUCGGAAAUUCGGCCUCUGAUCGAGGAAGCCCUGUUGGGAAGAGGGCUGGUUAUUCCCUUGUCUUCCUUCUCACCGCCCCUACUCCAUCCACUCUCUUUCCCCUUCUCCCCUUCUGAGUUUGUUACCAUUUCUUGGUCAAAGCCCCACAACAUAGAUGCAAGGAGAUGAAAACCCACAAUUUCUCACUCCAGAGCCUGCGCCUGCGUUCACUGCAUCAGGGUUCUCGAACCUUAAGGAGCUCACAAUCACGUGGGGGCUUUGUUAAAACAGGAAUUCUGGGCCCCGCUCCCGGACACCUCAUUCAAUUGGUCUCAGCUGGGCCUGAGAAUGCGCAUUUCUAACCGGUUCCCGGGGUAUGUUUUGGGAAGGACUGCUCUGUGUGUUGCGUUGAUGCCCUCUAGGUUCCUUUGUCAAUAACAAAAAACCCUCUUUAGAGGAAAGUACGUCGUUCUUCUCUGUGUGUCCUCAGCACUUACACAAGGCUUGCACACCAGUGCCUAAUAAAUAUUUGGGCUUAAUCAUGAACGCUUAGAGCUGUCACCGUGGUUUACAGAUGUUUAGCGUGCGCCUGGCAUUUUUCUGGGCACAUUAGGAGUGUCUGUUUAAUGCUAGUGACAACGGUGGGAGUUAAGACCCUUAUUUUGACAUGGAUGGCUCACAAUGGGGAUGCCAGGAACCGGGAGAGGGAAAUCGUGCCUGUACCCAGACAGAUGGAAGCCAAGGUCUACCCAAGGGACAGAAACCGCUGAGUCCCGCUCCACCAACCUGGGACAAACCAGCUUAAAGGCGCUGUUCAGGAAGACUCAGCUCUCUCCGCUGGGAUCCUCCACUGGGCUCUGGAGUUCAGAGGUUCAAGGUUAAAGUGAAAAGAAGGCUGAGCAUGGAGACAACAGGAGACUUCAAGUCCCACUUGACAGUUCCUGGCUAAGUGAUCCUAAACAAGCCUCUUAACCUCUCUGAGACUCAGUAUGCCCAUCUAUGCAAUGAGAAUUUGUAACAAUAAAAUCAAAAAGCCUCCUC